CAAAAUAUAAAAGAAGUCCGUGAAUUUAAAGAAACGAUUAAUAAAAAUCAGUGUAUUUAAUUUGUAUAUAAAAAAUUUAGCAAAAAAACCUUUUUUCCUCUAUGUGGAUAGAACAGAAAAAAUUUGAGUGCUGAAAUACAACGCCGACGUGGAACUCCAGCAGAACAUAGGAAUGGAGGCAGAAGAAGGAAACGGCGCUGAGGAAUUUGGAAUUUGAUUAGCGACGAAAAUUCAGACCCCAAUAAAAAAUUAGAAGAAUUUUCUGAGCUCGGAAGCUCUGGAAAGCAUAAACAAAAUAAAAUUGUAUUUUUUAAUUUGGGUUCAUGUAUUUUUGGAUAUUUCGCUGCCAUCUAUUCACUAAUUUAUCAAUUUCAUCGCUAAAUUCACUUGUACUUCACCAACUAGAUGACAUGUUUAAGCGAGUGAACAUACUGUAAGGCCGCUACAACAACAACAACAACUGUAAGGGAAAUGCGCCCAUGUGUGUGCACACGCCCGGAGAAGUGGUUACUCUUUUCCCAAGCACAUACAAAACUGAUGAUCGAAUGAUACUAUAUUUUUUUCUUCGAGUGUAUUCAUGAUUAAAUAAUACAAGGUUGGAUAACCUGGCAGUUGUCUCGCUCCCACAUUCUGCUUUAGCCUGUGUUGCUUUCUUUUUUGAUUUGUAGAAACUACUACUAAAAUACAAGGAGAAAUAUUGUCUUCGUAAAAAAAGUUCAACAGGCAACACUGCCGAUAUUUUCAUCGAUUGUUUCGCGAAAAUUGAUUUUCUUAUUGCGCAAAUUCAAGUAGGUAUGGCAAAAAAAUAAAAAAUAAUAAAACUAUUUUGAACUAAAACAAUAAUUUACACAUUGUCACGUACACGUUACCGCCCCUUGUGUGUCGCUAUCAUUGUGGCGGCCCUAGCUAGCUCUGAAAUUGUGUGGCCGUGGUUCUCAACCCUUGCCACAAUGAAGCAGACUGGAAGUUACGCGUCGUUCAUCCACAUGCUUUUGUCAAUAGGAAGCCCACCCGUCCAUGGACCGCUCAUUUCAGACGUCGUCUCGCGGUCUCCCUGUUGUUCUACUCCAAUUGCCCACUAACUCACCCUUUUGUCAUCUUCCCCUCCCUCCGAAAUAAAUUAGUCCCUCAUAUUAAAUUUUUUUUCAAUUUCGAAUAUACAAGAGAAAUUUUAUUGACUAA
Molecule: long non-coding RNA, 1182 nt
Organism: Rhagoletis pomonella (apple maggot)
Lineage: Eukaryota; Metazoa; Arthropoda; Insecta; Diptera; Tephritidae
Exons: 3
Source: RefSeq, a predicted model, not a curated record